UACGAAGGGGGCUAGCGUUGCUCGGAAUCACUGGGCGUAAAGGGUGCGUAGGCGGGUCUUUAAGUCAGGGGUGAAAUCCUGGAGCUCAACUCCAGAACUGCCUUUGAUACUGUCGAUCUGGAGUAUGGAAGAGGUGAGUGGAAUUCCGAGUGUAGAGGUGAAAUUCGUAGAUAUUCGGAGGAACACCUAUUGCGAAGGCAGCUCGCUGGGACGUAACUGACGCUGAGACGCGAAAGCGUGGGGAGCGAACAGG
RNAcentral lists this ribosomal RNA (253 nucleotides) under uncultured bacterium. RNAcentral's name for it is "partial 16S ribosomal RNA". It matches the Rfam family "Bacterial small subunit ribosomal RNA", at positions 524 to 776 of the family's 1533-position model. The record is from RNAcentral.